CCUUAAAGGGACGAAGCAGUACCGAAAGGAGCUGUGGACUUUUAAGAAGAGAGAAUGCCGGAAUGAGUAGCGAGAGGAAGGUGGGAAUCCUUCCGGCCGAAUAUCUAAGGUUUCCAGAGUAAAGCUGAUCUGCUCUGGGUAAGUCGGGGCCUAAGGCGAGGUCGAAAGACGUAGUCGAUGGAUAACAGGUUGAAAUUCCUGUACUAUCCUGUAACAGAACUGUGGGGACACAGGCAGAGAGCGUGAGCCGGGAAUGGAAAGACCGGUACAAGCGAGGUAGGAGAAGAGUUGGCAAAUCCGCUCUUUAAUCUGAAGACGUGAUGUGGACUGAAAAUAAGUAGGGAAGCACGUGAGCUGACUGUCAAGAAAAGCCGCUAUUGUUUGCAGGAUACCCGUACCGUAAACCGACACAGGUGGAUGAGGAGAGAAUCCUAAGGCCGACGGGAGAAGCAUUGUUAAGGAACUCGGCAAAAUGACUCCGUAACUUCGGGAGAAGGAGUGCCAGUAAGAUGGCCGCAGAGAAUUGGCCCAAGCAACUGUUUAGCAAAAACACAGGUCUAUGCAAAACCGAAAGGUGAGGUAUAUGGGCUGACGCCUGCCCGGUGCUGGAAGGUUAAGGGGAGAGGUUAGCGCAAGCGAAGCUUUGAACUUAAGCCCCAGUAAACGGCGGCCGUAACGAUAACGGUCCUAAGGUAGCGAAAUUCCUUGUCGGGUAAGUUCCGACCCGCACGAAAGGCGUAAUGAUUUGGGCACUGUCUCAACAAUGCACCCGGUGAAAUUGAAAUACCAGUGAAGAUGCUGGUUACCUGCGCCAGGACGGAAAGACCCCAUGGAGCUUUACUCCAGCUUGAUACUGGGAUUCGGUAUUGCAUGUACAGGAUAGGUGGGAGGCUAGGAAAUGGUAACGCCAGUUGCCAUGGAGCCAAUGUUGGGAUACCACCCUUGCAGUACUGGGUUUCUAACCAGCAGCCGUGAUCCGGCUGGGGGACAAUGUCAGGUGGGGAGUUUGACUGGGGCGGUCGCCUCCGAAAGGGUAUCGGAGGCGCUCAAAGGUUCCCUCAGAAUGGUUGGAAACCAUUCGAAGAGUGCAAAGGCAGAAGGGAGCUUGACUGCGACACCGACGGGUGGAGCAGGUACGAAAGUAGGACUUAGUGAUCCGGUGGUAUAAAGUGGGAUUGCCAUCGCUCAACGGAUAAAAGCUACCCUGGGAUAACAGGCUUAUCACUCCCAAGAGUUCACAUCGACGGAGUGGUUUGGCACCUCGAUGUCGGCUCAUCGCAUCCUGGGGCUGAAGUAGGUCCCAAGGGUUGGGCUGUUCGCCCAUUAAAGCGGUACGCGAGCUGGGUUCAGAACGUCGUGAGACAGUUCGGUCCCUAUCCGGCGUGGGCGUAAGAUAUUUGAGAGGAGCUGUCCUUAGUACGAGAGGGCCGGGAUGGACUGGCCGCUGGUGUAUCUGUUGUCCUACCGAAGGCAUAGCAGAGUAGCCAAGCCGGGAAGGGAUAAACGCUGAAGGCAUCUAAGCGUGAAGCCCCCCUCAAGAUGAGAUAUCUCAUAACGUCAAGUUAGUAAGACCCCUUGAAGACGACGAGGUAGAUAGGGCAGAGGUGGAAGUGUGGUAACACAUGGAGCUGACUGUUACUAAUAGGUCGAGGGCAUAACUA
RNAcentral lists this ribosomal RNA (1661 nucleotides) under metagenome. Its description in RNAcentral is "bacterial LSU rRNA". It matches the Rfam family "Bacterial large subunit ribosomal RNA", at positions 1240 to 2925 of the family's 2925-position model. The record is from RNAcentral.